AAAAUUUAAUAUGGCAGACCCUAAAAGUGCAUUGGAUUUAAACCUCAAACAUAAAGAUUUUCUUUUAUUAAAA
Molecule: transfer RNA, 73 nt
Filed under: Paraparatrechina sauteri
Lineage: Eukaryota; Metazoa; Arthropoda; Insecta; Hymenoptera; Formicidae
Description: tRNA-Leu
Source: RNAcentral